ACAUGUCCUCUUCUCCUUCCAUUUGCUAUUGUGUUCGUCAAUAAGACUAUCCACGUCUCCUUAUUCUUCUGAACCGGGUUUUUUUUUCUCCAUGUAUUCUUGCAAACCCUAAUCCUUUCCCCAAAAUAUUCCGCCGUUUCUACUCUUCCUUGUCUCUGCAACUCAAGCCGAACUUCUCACUUCCUUCAAAAUAUUUCAUUGUUCUUCUUUAUCUCUCUCUAAUAUUACCCACCUAAGAUCCGCCCCUGCAUAGUCCUAUUCGGUAGGGUUUCUCUAAUCCCAUUCAGUAGGGUUUUAAAUCCAAAACAGAUCCUGAAUCAGCACACACAAAAUUGAAAGUAAAGAACGAUGAUGAGAGUUUCGGUGUUAAAAAUAGACAAAGAACCGUCAUCUUCUCUUAAUGACUCCUCUGAUCGGAUUGGAAGACGCCACUGGCUUACCUUUUAGUUUAUUAUUGGCAAAACUAGCGAUGCAUCAAAGAUGGCGGAACUUAGUAAGGAGGUUGAGGAAUAUGACGACUUCUUGAUGUUGGAUAUUGUUGAGGAGUAUAGUAAGCUUCCAUACAAAACGUUGGCAUUUUUCAAAGCUGCGUAUGCACUCUACGAUUCUGAGUUUUAUGUUAAAGCUGAUGAUGACAUAUAUCUAAGACCAGAUCGGCUCUCGCUGCUCCUAGCUAAAGAACGUACUCACUCACAGACUUAUCUUGGAUGCAUGAAGAAAGGUCCUGUGUUCACUGAUCCUAAACUCAAAUGCCUUUGAAUUUUGCUAAGGGUAGAGAUGGUGGAAUAAUACAUGGAGGACCUGCUGAUGAGACCAAGAUGUUCACUGUUGGGGAUAGAGUUCUAGCCACCAGCCAUUGACUGUACAAUCAGGAGGAAAAGUCAAAUGUAUGGAGGAGAAACAAAUUGAAGUGGAUUAAUUAUUUUGACCACUCAGGUUGGCAAUCUUAAAAAAAAUGGAAUAUGUCCGGAAAUAUAGAAAGCAAUAUCGGACGGCACGCGCCAGUUGUGUCACUUGAAGAAAUAAAAACUGACUCAGUAUUUUUUUCCUUCUCUUUUUCGUGUAUAUUCAAUUGCUUGAAGCACUUUUAUAUAUAUAGGUUGGAUAACGGAUGUUGAAAAGGGUACAUUUUUUUUUCAAUUAACAGGAGCUGAUGUUGAGGAUCAGUUGUUUGUGCAUUUGCAACACUUGUUCCAACCGCAAGGAGGGUACAGGUUGGUAAUUUCUUU
Molecule: long non-coding RNA, 1229 nt
Organism: Helianthus annuus (common sunflower)
Lineage: Eukaryota; Viridiplantae; Streptophyta; Magnoliopsida; Asterales; Asteraceae
Exons: 7
Source: RefSeq, a predicted model, not a curated record